Molecule: ribosomal RNA, 497 nt
Filed under: uncultured bacterium
Lineage: Bacteria
Description: partial 16S ribosomal RNA
Rfam family: Bacterial small subunit ribosomal RNA
Source: RNAcentral
GAUGAACGCUGGCGGCGUGCCUAAUACAUGCAAGUCGAGCGAACAGAUGAGGAGCUUGCUCCUCUGACGUUAGCGGCGGACGGGUGAGUAACACGUGGAUAACCUACCUAUAAGACUGGGAUAACUUCGGGAAACCGGAGCUAAUACCGGAUAAUAUAUUGAACCGCCUGGUUCAAUAGUGAAAGACGGUUUUGCUGUCACUUAUAGAUGGAUCCGCGCCGCAUUAGCUAGUUGGUAAGGUAACGGCUUACCAAGACGACGAUGCGUAGCCGACCUGAGAGGGUGAUCGGCCACACUGGAACUGAGACACGGUCCAGACUCCUACGGGAGGCAGCAGUAGGGAAUCUUCCGCAAUGGGCGAAAGCCUGACGGAGCAACGCCGCGUGAGUGAUGAAGGUCUUCGGAUCGUAAAACUCUGUUAUUAGGGAAGAACAAAUGUGUAAGUAACUAUGCACGUCUUGACGGUACCUAAUCAGAAAGCCACGGCUAACUACGUG